Molecule: ribosomal RNA, 720 nt
Filed under: uncultured Bacteroidota bacterium
Lineage: Bacteria; Pseudomonadati; Bacteroidota
Description: bacterial SSU rRNA
Rfam family: Bacterial small subunit ribosomal RNA (bases 1-491)
Source: RNAcentral
GAAGGUGCUGGCACCCGAAAGACGAGUGGCGAACGGGUGCGUAACGCGUAUGCAAUCUACCUUUUACUAGGGUAUAGCCCGGAGAAAUUUGGAUUAAUCCCCUACAAUAUCAUGAAUUCGCAUGAUUUUAUGAUUAAAGCUUCGGCGGUAAAAGAUGAGCAUGCGUCCUAUUAGUUAGUAGGUGAGGUAACGGCUCACCUAGACUACGAUAGGUAGGGGCCCUGAGAGGGGGAUCCCCCACACUGGUACUGAGACACGGACCAGACUCCUACGGGAGGCAGCAGUAAGGAAUAUUGGACAAUGGACGAAAGUCUGAUCCAGCCAUGCCGCGUGCAGGAUUGACAGCCCUUAGGGUUUGUAAAACUUCUUUUAUACAGGGAAGGAAACCUUUCCACGGUGUGGGAAAGGCUGGACGGUACUGGAAAGAAUAAGGGAUCCGGGUAACUCCGUGGCCAGCAGGCGCGGUACUACGGAGGAUCCAGGCGGUAAUCCGGAAUCAGUUGGGGGUUUCAAAGGGUCCCGGACAGGCGGGCUAUAAAGGUCACCGAGAGGUGAAAAUCCUGGGAGCUCCACCUGGUAGAAAUGCCCUUGGAACACUGGAAGACUGUAGAUAUAGUGACACGUGUCUAAACGUGUUGUGGUAGAGGGGGACAAGGGUUUGAAUUUCUCCCAGAAAUACCAAUGUGCAAGGCAGACUCCUCAACAACUUUCGACGCCCAG